This 231-nucleotide ribosomal RNA is filed under the name uncultured Eubacteriales bacterium. RNAcentral's name for it is "uncultured Clostridiales bacterium partial 16S ribosomal RNA". It matches the Rfam family "Bacterial small subunit ribosomal RNA", at positions 103 to 334 of the family's 1533-position model. Lineage: Bacteria; Bacillati; Bacillota; Clostridia; Eubacteriales. The record is from RNAcentral.
CGGGUGAGUAACGCGUGAGUAACCUGCCUUACACAAGGGGAUAGCCGUUGGAAACGACGAAUAAUACCCUAUGAAACUAUCACUUCGCAUGAAGCGAUAGUCAAAGUGUUAGCGGUGUAAGAUGGACUUGCGUCUGAUUAGCUAGUUGGUGAGAAAAAAGCCCACCAAGGCAACGAUCAGUAGCCGGCUUGAGAGAGUGUACGGCCACAUUGGGACUGAGAUACGGCCCAG